This 253-nucleotide ribosomal RNA is filed under the name uncultured bacterium. Its description in RNAcentral is "partial 16S ribosomal RNA". It matches the Rfam family "Bacterial small subunit ribosomal RNA", at positions 524 to 776 of the family's 1533-position model. The record is from RNAcentral.
UACAGAGGGUGCAAGCGUUAAUCGGAAUUACUGGGCGUAAAGCGUGCGCAGGCGGUUUUGUAAGACAGGCGUGAAAUCCCCGGGCUCAACCUGGGAAUUGCGCUUGUGACUGCAAGGCUGGAGUGCGGCAGAGGGGGAUGGAAUUCCGCGUGUAGCAGUGAAAUGCGUAGAUAUGCGGAGGAACACCGAUGGCGAAGGCAAUCCCCUGGGCCUGUACUGACGCUCAUGCACGAAAGCGUGGGGAGCAAACAGG